GUGCAGCAGGCGCGAAACCUCCGCAAUGCGCGAAAGCGCGACGGGGUUACCCCGAGUGCCGUCCGCUGAGGACGGCUUUUGCCCAGUGUAGCCAGCUGGGCGAAUAAGGAGAGGGGCAAGUCUGGUGUCAGCCGCCGCGGGUAAUACCAGCGUCUCCGAGUGGUGGGGACGCUUAUUGGGCCUAAAGCAUCCGUAGCCGGUCUGGCAAGUCCCUUGUUAAAUCCAACG
RNAcentral lists this ribosomal RNA (228 nucleotides) under uncultured microorganism. RNAcentral describes it as "partial 16S ribosomal RNA". It matches the Rfam family "Archaeal small subunit ribosomal RNA", at positions 330 to 556 of the family's 1478-position model. The record is from RNAcentral.